This is a long non-coding RNA of Caretta caretta (loggerhead turtle), 2452 nucleotides long. RefSeq lists it as uncharacterized. Lineage: Eukaryota; Metazoa; Chordata; Testudines; Cheloniidae. The record is from RefSeq and is a predicted model, not a curated record.
GCCAUGUUGGAGCCGUGGGAGAAGAACAGCCCCGCGCAGGGCGGUGGCUCACGUGGGCCGAUGUAGCUCUGGGGUCUGAACGUGUGACGGAAGCGGCGUACGCCCCUGAAGAGCUACCAAGUCUCCUGCUUCUCUCCGCUACCUACUGCCAAAAACCAUCCAACAUGCUAGUGCUGGCCUGCAGGUUCCCUGAGAGACCGUGGCACUAAAAAUCGAUGCGACUCACAUAUUUCCCUGAAUCCUCUCAUGAUGUAGCUUGCCCCAAGUCCGGUUCCCGGUAUUCAAGACAUGAAUUUUAAGGACAGAGAGUUUUAAUACUUGUGCCUGGAUUUAUGUAAAUACGUUUAGAAUUAUGCAAAUUUACAAUCUUGCUUUUUAAUGUUGUUGUCAUAAGGUGCUUGCAGGUGGGAGACUGGAAACACUAGAGGAGAAAAGGUGUCUAUAGCAACAGGAGUGUAACUGACUAUUUGUAGAACGUCCAUUGCUUUUUGCCAGGGUGUUGUAGCUGUGUUGAUCCUAGGAUAUUAGAGAAGGUAAGUGAGGUAAUAUCUUUUGUUUGACCGAUUUCUGUUGAUGAGAGAGUAAAUAAAUAAAUAAAAAUGGAAAAGCUGUUACUUACAGAAAAGGAGUAACUGCCAUUAGAGCUGAGGCUUAUUCAGCCGUCAUCUUUUUCCACUUCGUAGAUGUAUUGUGUGGGGGUGGGAUUAUAAAUGCCAAAGGAUUUAGAUCAGGGAUGCCCAUACUGUGGCAUCCUAAUUUGCUCCUCAUAGCUCCCCUGUCCCUCCAGGGUCUGAACCAAAUUGAUUGUUAAAAUCCUGUAGACAUUCUUUUCUUCAUCUCGUAAAGGAGGAUAAAAAGUAAAAGCAAAUAUUGGAUGUGUGUGUUUAUCAAUUACUAAAACAUGUAAAUCUAUAUGCAAAUUAGGACCAGCAUUGCAGAUUUGGGAUGCUUCCUGGCUUAAAACCUAGGUCAUGAUUAAUUUAAAAUGUCAAAAAGGGAGAAAUUCAGUUGUACACCAAGAACACUUCACAGAGAACUUCCCUCUUUUCAGCUAUUGAAGUCCUCCAACAGGCCAUGCUGCUUCUAGGAAUGGCAAAGUUAAGAACCCCUCCAUUGUAGUUCUUUUAGGGUUUUUUUGGUGGUUGUUGUUUAAGUGAGUGUGGCCAGCACAGAAAAUAUCCUAUAGUUACACAGUUCAACCCACCAGCUAGGCAGAGAGAUCAGAGGCACAAUUCUGAUCCAGACCCAAUGAUCUGAUGCCCUUCUACUCCCUGCUUCUGGAACAAAUGUUAUCUGAUUCAGGCCAUCAUGGCUGUUGGCCUUUGCAUGUUGAGCAGUUAAUACUACAUCUAGUGUACUUAGGAGCUGCUAUAUUUUAUCCCUCAUGUUAGGCAUUCCUAACUACCUGUGUGGGUUCCCAGGAAAGGAAACCCCAGAGACUUUGAAGCUCCUCUGAUGCUGCCAUAUCGGAGUGCAGCUCUUCUGCUGGCAGAGCAGUGCUUUGCCUUUGCUAAGGGAACAGAGAGUGAAAGAUGAUCCUAGUUCACAGAACUAUGUUGCUUCUAGUAUGGACAUUGCAGCAGAGGCUAGCCACAUGAGUACAGACCGAGAGGGUUGGGCUGUUGCUCGUGCCAUGGUGUUCACACUGCUAGUUUUAGUGUGCUAGCUUGAACUCAGCUCGUGUAUGUCCAUAUACCCAAGCUGGGAGGCAUGCUCCCAGUUACACCCUGGGAAACUUAAGGCCUGAUUCUGCACUGUAUUGAAGCCUUUCCAGUUGCACUAGCGUAAAACUAAAUGGACAAUCAGGCUCUUCCCUUUAGUUUGUAGUUCCCAGUUUCUGCUGUUCUGGGGAUGUGGGAGCAGAUAAGAAAGCAGCUAUAUUUUGGGAGUGUGGGACAUACAGAUGGAGUUUGAAAUAGUUAUUUACGUUACUUGGUAUUGGACUUUUAGGGCCAAAAUCUGUACCCAUUGACUUCAAUGGGUUUUGGAUUAUGCCCUAGUUUAUUUGAAAUAAGGAGGCUGCAUUUUAGUUUGUUCUAAGGCUUUAAUCUCUAGAAUAGACUGGUCAAAGCAUGACUAACAAAUAAUCUGCAGAGAGCAAUACUACGCUGUAAGAGAGAUGGACAAGGUGAUGUAACAGGAAUAAGUAUUUCUCAUCUCUGAUUUAUCUCAAAUCUUCUGUACAAGUUCUGAGGUCUGCAUAGUGUGACAGAUACUGUAGACAUGAAAUAGGAAAGUGUCCAUAAUAUUUUUUGUCAGAUAGGUGUAAAAAAAAAUAAAAUACUCAGUAUUCAGUUAUAAAUUUUUUCACAGACAAGACAACUUCCCCUCAGAGCUGCCAGAGUUGCAUGGAUCUCCCCCCUCCUCAUUUUUUUAUGAUCAGUUUUAAUAAUACAGUCAAAGAUACUAUAUAGUGUAUGCUCUAUCAAUAAAUCAUGCCCAUGCAUCUUCA